CCUCGGAUCAGGUAGGGAUACCCGCUGAACUUAAGCAUAUCAAUAAGCGGAGGAAAAGAAACCAACCGGGAUUGCCUCAGUAACGGCGAGUGAAGCGGCAAGAGCUCAAAUUUGAAAGCUGGCUCCUUCGGGGUCCGCAUUGUAAUUUGCAGAGGAUGCUUCGGGCGCGGCCCCCGUCUAAGUGCCCUGGAACGGGCCGUCGGAGAGGGUGAGAAUCCCGUCUGGGACGGGGUGUCCGUGUCCGUGUGAAGCUCCUUCAACGAGUCGAGUUGUUUGGGAAUGCAGCUCUAAAUGGGUGGUAAAUUUCAUCUAAAGCUAAAUAUUGGCCGGAGACCGAUAGCGCACAAGUAGAGUGAUCGAAAGAUGAAAAGCACUUUGAAAAGAGAGUUAAACAGCACGUGAAAUUGUUGAAAGGGAAGCGCUUGCGACCAGACUCGCUCGCGGGGUUCAGCGGGCCUUCGGGCCCGUGUACUUCCCCGUGGGCGGGCCAGCGUCGGUUUGGGCGGCCGGUCAAAGGCCUCCGGAAUGUAGCACCCUUCGGGGUGCCUUAUAGCCGGGGGUGCAAUGCGGCCUGCCUGGACCGAGGAACGCGCUUCGGCACGGACGCUGGCAUAAUGGUCGUAAGCGACC
RNAcentral lists this ribosomal RNA (630 nucleotides) under Aspergillus janus. RNAcentral's name for it is "eukaryotic LSU rRNA". It matches the Rfam family "Eukaryotic large subunit ribosomal RNA", at positions 1 to 649 of the family's 3401-position model. Lineage: Eukaryota; Fungi; Ascomycota; Eurotiomycetes; Eurotiales; Aspergillaceae. The record is from RNAcentral.